This 830-nucleotide long non-coding RNA is filed under the name Gallus gallus (chicken). The record is from RNAcentral. Lineage: Eukaryota; Metazoa; Chordata; Aves; Galliformes; Phasianidae.
CAGAACUGUAAUGAUUUGGAGCUAUAAAUGAUGGAAGAUUUAUGUAUAGAUUUCAGAGGUGGCAUUCAGGGAAACUUCCUUGAUGUCCUGCACAGAUGUCACUGCUGACUCAUAGGUUUAGAGUUUCAUAGAAAUUAAGCGGAAGUGAAGACUCAGACACCUCGGAUUCUUGGUCAUCCUUGUUACAGUUAAAGAACGGGCUUGGAUUUGUUCCUCCAUAUCUGCCUCUUGCCUCCUGCAUUUUAGAAGGUUUGAAAACCACUGCCAGGUAAGAAUUUCUUUUUGAUGUGUUUGAUGUCUCAGACUCCUCUGUUCAUACUGCCAGUUCAUUUGCAGGUAUUCUGUCUAGUAGUUUUAUAUAAGUAAAUUUUAGUAUUUAUCAGCAUAAGCUAGCAAGAUGGAAACGGUAAAGAAUUUGGAGUCUUCUUUUCACAAACAGAAGGGAAUUUAGGACUGUUGAUUGGUACUAGUUAAUGUUAAGCAGAUUCUUCUAUUCUCAGGCUAUAUCAGGUAGACUUCUUCCAUUGCAAAGAGCAAAACUGCUAGUCACAGCCCUGACAGUCAGGUAACCAAACUAUGUGAUGUCUUCCAGUGCUAUGGAGUAUUUUACUAAGGAAGUCUGGCUGUGUACUGUUAUCAGAUUAUGAUUUAACAGCUACUUUUAGUUGUAAUCAUUUUUUUUUCCUUGGCCCAUUGCAUGAUACACUGUUGUUGUAUAAUAUUGCAUAAAUAUGCAUUGUGCAUAUUAUUCCCUAAUAUAAUCUGAUUUUAUUAGAUUUCAAAAUCAAAGAAGUAUCACUUAAUAUAAGCAGAAUUUGGUUGAAUGGGAG